UACGUAGGGUGCAAGCGUUAAUCGGAAUUACUGGGCGUAAAGCGUGCGCAGGCGGUUUUGUAAGCCAGAUGUGAAAUUCCCGGGCUUAACCUGGGGGCUGCAUUUGAUACGUGUUGUCUAGAGUGAGGAAGAGGGUUGUGGAAUUCCCAGUGUAGAGGUGAAAUUCGUAGAUAUUGGGAAGAACACCGGUGGCGAAGGCGGCAACCUGGUCCUUGACUGACGCUGAGGCGCGAAAGCGUGGGGAGCAAACAGG
Molecule: ribosomal RNA, 253 nt
Filed under: uncultured bacterium
Lineage: Bacteria
Description: partial 16S ribosomal RNA
Rfam family: Bacterial small subunit ribosomal RNA
Source: RNAcentral